UUUUACCUACGGGACGCAGCAGUGGGGGAUAUUGCACAAUGGGGGGAACCCUGAUGCAGCGACGCCGCGUGGGUGAAGAAGCGCCUCGACGCGUAAAGCCCUGUCAGCAGGGAAGAAAAUGACGGUACCUGAAGAAGAAGCCCCGGCUAACUACGUGCCAGCAGCCGCGGUAAUACGUAGGGGGCAAGCGUUAUCCGGAUUUACUGGGUGUAAAGGGAGCGUAGGUGGCAUGGCAAGCCAGAAGUGAAAACCCGGGGCUUAACCCCGCAGAUUGCUUUUGGAACUGUCAGGCUGGAGUGCAGGAG
RNAcentral lists this ribosomal RNA (305 nucleotides) under uncultured bacterium. Its description in RNAcentral is "bacterial SSU rRNA". It matches the Rfam family "Bacterial small subunit ribosomal RNA", at positions 333 to 654 of the family's 1533-position model. The record is from RNAcentral.